Nicotiana tabacum (common tobacco) is the source of this 1509-nucleotide RNA transcript. It is a transcript of the gene named transcriptional corepressor LEUNIG_HOMOLOG-like, with no coding region annotated. Lineage: Eukaryota; Viridiplantae; Streptophyta; Magnoliopsida; Solanales; Solanaceae. The record is from RefSeq and is a predicted model, not a curated record.
GUGAAGGGCAAAAAAAAAACCUUAGAGCUAGAGGUCCAAAAAGGCUGCCAGCAAAAGCCCAAAAAUCCUUCUUCUUAUCUUUAGUUCAGCCAUGAGAGCCACCCUCUUCCUCCAUGAAACCCACCUGAAAACCUUCAUUAAUACCACCUCUUGAAACUUCUAAAAAUGAUCAGAGAUUCAGCCAUAAAACCUCUAUUACACAGUCACAAAACAUCCUUAAAUUCAAGUAAAUAUUACCCACAGAAUCACUCAAAAAAUGAGCUGAAAAAUACCCCAAAUCUAGCCCCAAACGGCCAUGAAAGUUCAGCCAUAAAACCUCCAUUAAACCACCACCAAAGACCAGAAAAUAGCUGCGAAAAUCAGCUCCAAGACACCCCAAAUUCCAGCCCAGAAACCUCCCCAAAACCUGCUGAAAUUAGGCCCCAAAACCACCAAUUUACAGCCUCAAAACCAUCAAAAUUACAGCCCCGAAAACCACCCAAAAACAGCCCUAAAACCAGCCACUAUACCCGCUCUCUUCAACCUUAAAAACGCAGCAUCUCCACCUCAAAAAUAGCUGCAAAACCAUCCAAAACAACAGUCUCGAAAAUCAGAUCUAAGACACCACAAAACAGCCUCAAGAACACAGUAAAACCAGCUCCAAAAAAUUGAAAAACCAGAGCUUAAUCUCAGCUAUAAAUUAGUCCAAGAACCAUCGCCAAUCAGACCUUAAACCACCACAAAGAGAGUUGAGGUCGAGUUCGUCGUCGCUAGUUUUCGGUCAUGGUCGCUGGUGUUUGGCCGUUUGUUGAAUUGCAAAUCUUUAAAAUUCAGAUUCGGCAAUAAAGAUUGGAGCCGUUCAAAGGUCAUUUUGUACAAGAAAGAUAUUUUGGAAUAUCGACCUAACUUCGUUAAGGUUUACAUGUCCGGUCGGUGUCUUGACCUCGCCUCGUCACUAGUCUACCGAGAUUAAGCUUGAUACUUACCGUUGUGGUGUACUCAUGCUACUAUUCUACACAUUUUUGUGCAAAUUCAGGAGGCAGUGCACAAGUGAGAUUCCAGCCCAUAACUGGUCAUCAGCUGGCUGCCGCAUCAGAUAAGGUGGUUUCAAUCUUUGACGUCGAAAAUGACAGGCAACUACAGUCUUUCCAGGGACAUUCUGGAGUGGUGAACUACCUUUGUUGGGAUCUCAAUGGUGAUCUACUGGCAUCAGUAAGUGAGGAGUCCGUUAAAGUUUGGUCAUUGACCACCGGUGAUUGCAUCCAUGAGAAUCAGUUCCACUCUUGUGUCUUUCAUCCUAGCUGUUCAGCUCUAUUGGUGAUUGGAGGAAUGAGGGUAAUUAUUGCUUUCUUUUGCCAAUUCUACUUCUAUCAUUUCUGUAAAAUGUCCAUUUAGUUAGCCUAUUUUCAUCCAGUACAUCUGUUGAAAGAAUACCCAAACAAAUCUCCUUUAAAAUUGCUCAUCUCCGCUUGUGGACGUAGGUCACACUGACCGAACCACAUUAAAUUGGUGUCUCUUUAUAUGCUUUAA